UACGGAGGGUGCGAGCGUUAUCCGGAAUUACUGGGUUUAAAGGGUGCGUAGGCGGCUUGGUAAGUCAGGAGUGAAAGUUUGCGGCUCAACCGUAAAAUUGCUUUUGAUACUGCCAGGCUAGAAUCAGGAUGAGGUCAGCGGAAUGUGGCAUGUAGCGGUGAAAUGCAUAGAUAUGCCAUAGAACACCAAUUGCGAAGGCAGCUGACUAGACCUGUAUUGACGCUGAGGCACGAAAGCGUGGGGAGCGAACAGG
RNAcentral lists this ribosomal RNA (253 nucleotides) under uncultured bacterium. RNAcentral describes it as "partial 16S ribosomal RNA". It matches the Rfam family "Bacterial small subunit ribosomal RNA", at positions 524 to 776 of the family's 1533-position model. The record is from RNAcentral.